UCUCUUCAGCAACCACUGCAUGAGGCCCUGUUGAGCAGCUUCUGUGCACAUUUCUGGUCGGAACUCAGCCAUAUUUUCUACAAUAGCUGAAGGAAGAGAAGAAACCAUUAACAUGCAAAAGUAAUUCUGCUUUUACUAGUCUUCAAAAUGACACUCCAGCAGCCUCCAAUGAGACAAGAACACAGACAGAUGACCUUUUUUAUUUGUCCAAAAAGGGAAAACAAAUGUAAUAUACAUCUCCUGGCUAUGAGAAGAAAUAUUUGUAUCUCUUUGCUUCCAGAAACGGCUUUAGAUUUCAUCUGGAAUCAAUGAACUUAUGGGUACCUUACAUUGUUGCUAAGUGUUGGAGAAGUCUUCACAGAAUUAGAAUGUUGAAAGACGCCUCCAAGACCAUCUAUUUCAACCUAUACCUGAGUUAAGAACUGCCUCUACAAAUUCCUGACAAGCACUCAUCCAGCAUUUCCCUGAAAGACUUACAAUAUUGGGGAACCCACCAUCUACCACAGAAGCAAAUUUCACUUCUGGAUAACUAAUUUUUUUUUGCAAGUUUUUCCUUAUAGUCAAACUCUGCCUCUUUACAGCUUCCAUCCAUUAGUUGUCUUCAGGCACAAAGCAGAACAAGUCUAAUCUCUUUCACCCAUGGUAGCCCUGCAAAUAUCUAAAGAUGGCUAUUUAAUUUUGCUUUCGUGUAACCAAGAUAAAACACUAAAGGAACCCUGAGAAUGCCAAUACUGCACUCUUCCCCCCAACAGGGCUUUUCUAUAGCUUAUAAUUUCCAACUGGGGAAAAGAUAGAGGCAAUAACUACAAACUGCAUCUCACAAUAAAUUCUACCAGAUGCCCUCUAGCUGCUAUUCAUGCCAUUUCAUGACUUUGAUAUUGGCCCCCAAAUUAAACCUACAAAGAAAUCAAUGUCUUUUCAAUAUUAAGAAUUCUUAUAAAAGUUUCCUAAUAAAGAAUAAAAACGGGGAUACAAAAAUAUAUUUAAAUCUACCUUUCCCUAACUCCCUAGUAUUUACCAAGUGUUUUCCACUGGUACAGACAAGCAAAUAAUCUAUCCUAAUUCUGAAAUUUUCAACUGCUUGUGAUACAUAUAAAUCCCACUGGAAUAAAGAGAUUAGUGCCAAAAUCUUAAAAAUAAUAAUAAUAAAAAUUAAAAAUUAAAAGCUCCUAAGCAGGAGCUACCUAAUGACUCCCCAGGCUGUAGAUGAACUGUGUUCUUUCUAAGUGAACAAUAAAAUCUGCAGAAUCCAGCUUUUGUUAGUGGUUUUGGCAACAUGGAAAACAGAAAAGGAGCUUUUAUUCAAAUGGCUGUUUCCAGGUCCAUUUUUACAAGCAGCAGGCGGGCUACCUGCUCCUUUCUCCUCAAUCCUUUUCAUGCAACAACCGUCUAGGCAAAGGAUGGUAAUUAAAAACAGCAUAGGGACUACACAGGAAGAUGCAUUCAGGGCCACCGCAAUUAACCUUUGGAAGGUAAGCCUGUGUGGAUGACACCACAGGGAUUUGAUGGAAAAGCAAGUGCAGCUGCCUUCCCCCAACACCCCUCCAAACAAAAGCCCAUCUGAUUUCUUUUCUCUCAACACAAUCAUUCCAAAGCCCAAUAAAAAAAAAAAAACAACCCUGUGUUCUACAAACGUGGCCAGUCACUCCAGGAAGCGGCUAGAAAGAAAAAUGGCCACAGGAAUUUUCAUCAUACUCAAUUGUUAUUGGCUCUGCUGGACACCUCUUUCUAUGUAAGAUACAGUUCUUCAUAUCCACUCAGUUCAUGACCCUUCUACUCAUUCCAAAUACCAGGAACCAGAGUGCAUGGGAAAAGUCUAAUACAAAGAGCAGAAGAGAAACGGAUUAAGUCAGUGAAGCUGAUACUGUAUCUGCUCACUAAGAUAAGGACCUCAACCAAAUCACUAUUAAUUGGAAGUUUCUAGAAAAAGACUAACCAGGAAAACCUACAGAAGAGAAAAAAACAUCAUGCCAGGAGUCAAGGGACCUGAAUCCUGAUAUCUUUACCACUAACCAGCUGUGUGACCCUACUCAAAUUACUUAACCUCUGACUUUCAGCUUCUCCAUCUGCAAAACAAUCAUAUAUUAAGAGCCAGAAGGAACCUUAGAGUUCAGCAGGUCCAAUUCCCUCAUUUUUCAGAUAAGGCUUAGGGAGGCUGAGGGCCUUGCCCUAGGUCAUCCAAUGGAAUUAUGAGAAUGGGAACUGAAGUCCUUUGACUUUAAAUCCCUUACCUUACAUGGUGCCAUGAGAAGAAUGAUGUUAGAAUUACAAGGGAAUUUAGUGAUAAUUUAGUCCAAUAUCUUCCUUUUACAAUGAGGGAAAGUAAAUUCUAGAGGCCUUGACUUGUCUAAGAUUGAAUGAGAAAACACAUAAGUCCCUGCAUGGCAAAGUGCUAGCAAUCUCAAUAAUUUGUAUUUGCAUUCUCUUGAUAUUUAGUAAAGCAGAGGUGUCAAACACAUAACCUACUUCUCAGUA
This is a non-coding RNA of Phascolarctos cinereus (koala), 2475 nucleotides long. Lineage: Eukaryota; Metazoa; Chordata; Mammalia; Diprotodontia; Phascolarctidae. The record is from RefSeq and is a predicted model, not a curated record.